Molecule: long non-coding RNA, 297 nt
Organism: Maniola jurtina (meadow brown)
Lineage: Eukaryota; Metazoa; Arthropoda; Insecta; Lepidoptera; Nymphalidae
Exons: 3
Source: RefSeq, a predicted model, not a curated record
CAUUUGGAGACAAAACAUUGGGAUUUGAUGCAGCGUUUUUAUAAAAUUUUAAAAAUCACAAAAGUCUGGGUUAAAAUUAAGAUAAAAACUAAAAACCAAAUGUGUGACGCUGUGUUUUGUGCCUCAGGAUAUAAGAAAGAAGGCGUCCAAGUUCCUGAAUUGCCUUUUCAUAGAUUUCCAAAUUGUCCUGAAAUUAGAACUGCGUGGAUUUGGACAAUAAAACGAAAAUCUGGAAGUGAAAGGUUAUAAAGGACGAACGAAACAAACUUCGAGAGCUGGCUAAUAAUGAAACAAAAA